UACGUAGGGUGCGAGCGUUAAUCGGAAUUACUGGGCGUAGAGCGUGCGUAGGCGGUUUCGCAAGUCCGCUGUGAAAGCCCCGGGCUCAACCUGGGAAUGGCAGUGGAAACUAGGAGACUUGAAUCUGGCAGAGGGGGGUGGAAUGCCACGUGUAGCAGUGAAAUGCGUAGAGAUGUGGCGGAACACCGAUGGCGAAGGCAGCCCCCUGGGCUGAGAUUAACGCUCAGGCACGAAAGCGUGGGGAGCAAACAGG
Molecule: ribosomal RNA, 253 nt
Filed under: uncultured bacterium
Lineage: Bacteria
Description: partial 16S ribosomal RNA
Rfam family: Bacterial small subunit ribosomal RNA
Source: RNAcentral